Molecule: ribosomal RNA, 405 nt
Filed under: uncultured bacterium
Lineage: Bacteria
Description: bacterial SSU rRNA
Rfam family: Bacterial small subunit ribosomal RNA
Source: RNAcentral
AAUGGGCGGGAGCCUGAACCAGCCAAGUCGCGUGAAGGAAGAAGGAUCUAUGGUUCGUAAACUUCUUUUGCAGGGGAAUAAAGUGCAGGACGUGUCCUGUUUUGUAUGUACCCUGAGAAUAAGGAUCGGCUAACUCCGUGCCAGCAGCCGCGGUAAUACGGAGGAUCCUAGCGUUAUCCGGAUUUACUGGGUUUAAAGGGUGCGUAGGCGGGGCUUUAAGCCGGUGGUGAAAUGCAGCGGCUCAAACGCUGGAGNGCCGUUGGGUCUGGGGCUCUUGGAUACGGUCGGGGCGGGUGGAACUCGUGGUGUAGCGGUGAAAUGCAUAGAUAUCACGAGGAACGCCGGUAGCGAAGGCAGCUCGCCGGGCCGGUAUUGACGCUGAGGCACGAAAGCGUGGGGAUCGAA